RNAcentral lists this ribosomal RNA (496 nucleotides) under uncultured bacterium. RNAcentral describes it as "partial 16S ribosomal RNA". It matches the Rfam family "Bacterial small subunit ribosomal RNA", at positions 29 to 507 of the family's 1533-position model. The record is from RNAcentral.
AUGAACGCUGGCGGCGUGCCUAAUACAUGCAAGUCGAGCGAACAGAUGAGGAGCUUGCUCCUCUGACGUUAGCGGCGGACGGGUGAGUAACACGUGGAUAACCUACCUAUAAGACUGGGAUAACUUCGGGAAACCGGAGCUGAUACCGGAUAAUAUAUUGAACCGCAUGGUUCAAUAGUGAAAGACGGUUUUGCUGUCACUUAUAGAUGGAUCCGCGCCGCAUUAGCUAGUUGGUAAGGUAACGGCUUACCAAGGCAACGAUGCGUAGCCGACCUGAGAGGGUGAUCGGCCACACUGGAACUGAGACACGGUCCAGACUCCUACGGGAGGCAGCAGUAGGGAAUCUUCCGCAAUGGGCGAAAGCCUGACGGAGCAACGCCGCGUGAGUGAUGAAGGUCUUCGGAUCGUAAAACUCUGUUAUUAGGGAAGAACAAAUGUGUAAGUAACUAUGCACGUCUUGACGGUACCUAAUCAGAAAGCCACGGCUAACUACGUG